Molecule: microRNA precursor, 60 nt
Filed under: Dasypus novemcinctus (nine-banded armadillo)
Lineage: Eukaryota; Metazoa; Chordata; Mammalia; Cingulata; Dasypodidae
Description: microRNA dno-mir-1 precursor (dno-mir-1-1)
Gene: dno-mir-1-1
Rfam family: mir-1 microRNA precursor family
About the family: This family represents the microRNA (miRNA) mir-1 family. miRNAs are transcribed as ~70nt precursors (modelled here) and subsequently processed by the Dicer enzyme to give a ~22nt product. In this case the mature sequence comes from the 3' arm of the precursor.
Source: miRBase by way of RNAcentral
ACAUACUUCUUUAUAUGCCCAUAUGGAGCUCGGAGCUAUGGAAUGUAAAGAAGUAUGUAU